Molecule: ribosomal RNA, 465 nt
Filed under: uncultured bacterium
Lineage: Bacteria
Description: partial 16S ribosomal RNA
Rfam family: Bacterial small subunit ribosomal RNA
Source: RNAcentral
CCUACGGGUGGCAGCAGUGGGGAAUAUUGCGCAAUGGGCGAAAGCCUGACGCAGCGACGCCGCGUGAGGGAUGAUGGUCUUCGGAUCGUAAACCUCUGUCAGCAGGGAAGAACCGUCACUGUGCUAAUCAGCAGUGAAUUGACGGUACCUGCAAAGGAAGCACCGGCUAACUCCGUGCCAGCAGCCGCGGUAAUACGGAGGGUGCGAGCGUUAAUCGGAAUUACUGGGCGUAAAGCGCUCGUAGGCGGUAUGUCAAGUCAAGGGUGAAAUCCCCGCGCUCAACGUGGGAACUGCCUUUGAAACUGGCAAACUGGAGUGUGUGAGAGGAUAGUGGAAUUCCAGGUGUAGGAGUGAAAUGCGUAGAUAUCUGGAGGAACAUCAGUGGCGAAGGCGACUAUCUGGCACAUAACUGACGCUGAGGAGCGAAAGCGUGGGUAGCAAACAGGAUUAGAUACCCUAGUAGUC